AGUAACCAAUCCACCUAGUUUAAGCAGAAAUGAAUUUAAUUCCAGGAAUUAAGUGCCUACAGAGUCAUUGGAAGUGAUGGAGGAACAGAUAAUCUCUAGGCUGAGAAGAGAUUCCAAAAAACCCCACAGAACUGGUCCACCGAGGGAAAGGAAUUGCUACUUCUGCUAUAAUCAGGAAGCUACAGGGGUAGGAGGCAACUGCUGGCUCCAUGUCUACACCACUGGCGGUUGGGGGUCAAAAAGCUGCCCCUAGAACAGCUGGCUCCAGAGCCGCGUUGUACCUGCUGGAAUCCACCACAGCAAAACAGCUGCUGCCACUCUCCCCUGCGAGUCCCAGUAAGUGUGUCCCAUGGUGACUGAGUCCCUCCUGGAGCCACACCUGCAGCGAGUUUGGGAAAUGCAGACCCUAGCUUUCCAGCCUCUGCCGUGGAGGAAGUUAUCCCAGAAGGAGGUUGGAACAGAAGCUGAGUGAGCCAACCGACGCUCUCCACUACAGGUGCCAAGCAGAUGCAUGUGCUGCACCUGGAACCUCAAGCACCAGGCAUCUUCGUGAACACCCCCUUCCGACCCAAGCGCACACACUGAGGAAAGGCCGUGCGAGGGCCCUGUGAGAAGGUGGCCUUCUGGAAACCGGGAAUAGAGUCCUCAUGGAACCAACACUGCCAGGACCUUCAUCGUGGACGUCCAGCCCCCAGAACUGUGAGAUAAUAAAUGUCUGUCGUUUAA
Equus caballus (horse) is the source of this 726-nucleotide non-coding RNA. The record is from RefSeq and is a predicted model, not a curated record. NCBI's taxonomy places the organism in Eukaryota, Metazoa, Chordata, Mammalia, Perissodactyla, Equidae.